CCCCCGCGUAGUCGGCCGCAAAGACAUCCUGCUUGUGGAGCGGGAUCGGGUAGUAGACCGCCGAGGCGAUCUCCGCGUCGGUGAGGGCC
Molecule: transfer RNA, 89 nt
Filed under: Geobacteraceae bacterium
Lineage: Bacteria; Pseudomonadati; Thermodesulfobacteriota; Desulfuromonadia; Geobacterales; Geobacteraceae
Description: tRNA-His
Source: RNAcentral